UCUCUCCUUCACAGCACCCUAUCGCUCUGUUUCUCCAUUCUUCCUCUCUCCCAGGCAAUUUACCACACCACAAUAGCAUCAGAAAAACGGCUAACGUUUCCUGAACACCACUACAGGCACUGUGACUUUCCUGUUUCCAGGGACCCACAGGAAGAGAAAGUUACGAUUUAUUGUGAUCUGUGUAAAGACAGAAGUCAGCUUAAGCCCAGGGGUUCCCAAACUGGGGUGCAGAUACCAGCACGGUAUAGCAGUUUAACCUGCUUAAGCUUCCUCAGUUGCAAGAGGGCUGCUGUAACAGGAAGUGCCCCACUGGGUGGAUAUAAUUUAAGAUCCCAUCAUACGUGUGAACACGUCCAGCCUGGCUGAUAGCAAACAACUCUCUUAGCUUCCACUUCUUGUUUGUUAUCUCUUUCUCUUCUCGUUUCCCCUUCCUUGAGCUUCUGCAGGCCCUUGGAUGCAUUAGAAGAUGAUGACUUUCUUUUAUAAUGCAAAGAAAUUGGCAAGCUAUCGCGUAAAUGCUGUUGGGCUCACUCACCAUUCUAUGGAGUCUCUGGGUCGGAGAGGACUUAACCCAUCUACCAGUCUGAUGUGUGAUGGUCAGCCUUCUUUCUCUUUUUCCCACCGGCCUGGCUCUCUCAACAGCCAUCAGGACAUUCUCUGAAACUGAGCAUUCCCUGCUAAGGUAGGACCCUCAGUGUUCUCCUGAGUUCUGUUUCUUCGUGAUUUCCUCCCUGCUCGGCUCUUGGCAGCUCCAGCCUGUACUUUCCCUGUGUGCUUUGGGCUUGGCGGCUGUGUACCUAAGGAAAGUUUAACCACCACUGACUUCCUUCCUGCCCGCCUGCCUCCCUGCUGUGAGCCUGUGAUACUUCUGUUGGCAUCGCAUCCGAAGCAGAGCCAAUAUUCUGAAUAAUGACCUAGAGCUCGUGCCAGCUGGUGAGGUCACUGCGCCAACCCCCGAAAUUGACAAGUCGGGGACUUGAGUUCAGCUUUUAUUGAUCAUCUUCUAUAUGCCAGUCACUAAGCAGGUUCUGAAGAUACAGAGGGGACAAGAAAGACAUGAUCUUUACCUACAAGGACUGACAGCCUGGAAAGACCACCAAAAAAUAGACCAUCUCUGGGAUAUGAAGAGUCAACCGGAAGUAGGUGCCCUGGUCCUGACAGCUCCAACCUGGAUGACAUCCCUUUACUGACUCAGUCCAGGCCUCCUGAGUGUCCUAAUUCUUUACAAUCCAGUUACUCUCAUCGCCUCCUUUCAGAUCUCAAAGGAUUUGAAAGAAUUUUGAUUUCAUCCCAUCUAAAAUGAGUUCCCUCUGGCAAGAAUGAAGAAUGCUGUAGUGGACUUUUACCCCAAGCACAGGGAUGCAAAAUAAAUAAAUCCAAUUCCUGUUUUCAAGAGGUCACAGUCUAGAAGAGAAAAUUACGAUUUACUGUGGUCUGGAUAAAGCUCGAGGUGACCUCGGACAAGUUUCUUGACCUCCUGUGCCUCAGCUUCCUUAUCUGCAAAACAGGAAUAUUAGUAGUGUCUUCCUCCCUGGGGUUGUUCUGCCCUUCAUGUGAGUGCACAGUGUGAAAUGCACACAGUGCCUGGAACACAGUAAGCCCCAUGUAAGGGUUUGUUGAUUUUUUUUAAGUACACGAAAAAACUUCUGAAGAUGAAACAAUGACUCAGUUCUGGGAAGUUCGGACUAGGACAUCUUCCCAGGCACCUGGAGAACUCGCUAAGAUGCAUAUUUCCCAGGCUCCAUCCUAGAGAUCCUGACUUAGUAGAUUUGGGGCAAAGCCUAGGUUUUAAGUCUCUCACUCACUACCCUGAGGGUGAACCACCAGGGGCUGCUUUAGGGUUCAGAUAAAGACUCCUUCAGGGUGGGGUGGGUGACGAAAUGCCUUCCUGGGUGCUCUGAUGCCUUGAAGGACAAAUAGUUAGGUUCAGGGGGCGGUGCUUGGCACAGGGAAUGGCAGGUGCAAAGAGGCCGGAGAGAACUGGUUCGUUUGUGAAACUUCAAGAUAUUUACCAGGAUUGGGACGUCCUGUAUGCGAGGCUGUUAGUUGACUCCGAUUUGAGGACACACCAGGGCUUGCUGUCCUCAGUCAGCACAGGAACAUGCUGAAUCAAGUUCAGUGGAAACCUGCCAAAGAGGAGCUUUUUGAAAUUGUGGGAAGUUUACAUUUUAGGGCUUAAAUUACUGCACCCAGAAGCCCAAAGUAGCUGCUAUCAGAAAAACUGAUUCCAAGAGACUCUGACAAUGAUGCGCAGGCUCUCAUUUUGACUGCAAGGUUCUCUUUCAACAGCCACUCCACCCCAGCAGUGAUUUCAGAGGAGACGGGAAAUGUGAAGAGUCUGCUUAACUCCUCAAACUCAAUGGGCUUAUACAUUUUCAGGAAGGUUGGCUGGGAAGCAGUUUGAAAGAAUAUGAAAUCCAAGGGUCCCUUCCAUCACCCCAGUGUGAUGAAGAAAAAGUGCCCUGGCAUCUGAUGGACAUAGGUCCAACUUUUUUUUUUUUUCUGCUUUAUCUCCUCAAAUCCCCCGGUACACAGUUGUAUAUCUU
Non-coding RNA from Equus caballus (horse), 2546 nucleotides. Lineage: Eukaryota; Metazoa; Chordata; Mammalia; Perissodactyla; Equidae. The record is from RefSeq and is a predicted model, not a curated record.